AGUGAACGCUGGCGGUAGGCCUAACACAUGCAAGUCGAACGGCAGCACAGUAAGAGCUUGCUCUUACGGGUGGCGAGUGGCGGACGGGUGAGGAAUACAUCGGAAUCUACUUUUUCGUGGGGGAUAACGUAGGGAAACUUACGCUAAUACCGCAUACGACCUACGGGUGAAAGCAGGGGGUCUUCGGACCUUGUGCGAUUGAAUGAGCCGAUGUCGGAUUAGCUAGUUGGCGGGGUAAAGGCCCACCAAGGCGACGAUCCGUAGCUGGUCUGAGAGGAUGAUCAGCCACACUGGAACUGAGACACGGUCCAGACUCCUACGGGAGGCAGCAGUGGGGAAUAUUGGACAAUGGGCGCAAGCCUGAUCCAGCCAUACCGCGUGGGUGAAGAAGGCCUUCGGGUUGUAAAGCCCUUUUGUUGGGAAAGAAAAGCAGCAGGUUAAUACCCCGCUGUUCUGACGGUACCCAAAGAAUAAGCACCGGCUAACUUCGUG
Molecule: ribosomal RNA, 492 nt
Filed under: uncultured bacterium
Lineage: Bacteria
Description: partial 16S ribosomal RNA
Rfam family: Bacterial small subunit ribosomal RNA
Source: RNAcentral